UCAGUGGCAAGACAGUGAAAUGCUUCAAGAGGCAGAUUUCCCUGAGGUGCCAAGCAGUCCUUCCAGACCAGGUGAAAGUGACAGUUCCUGCCAAAGUCCCAGCGAUGCUUGCUGUAUGGUAGAUGUUGAGGUGCCAAGCAGUCCUUCCAGACCAGGUGAAAGUGACAGUUCCUGCCAAAGUCCCAGCGAUGCUUGCUGUAUGGUAGAUGUUGAGAAUACUGGUACUGGAUGUGCAGAUAAUGAAUCUG
Protopterus annectens (West African lungfish) is the source of this 248-nucleotide long non-coding RNA. RefSeq lists it as uncharacterized. The record is from RefSeq and is a predicted model, not a curated record. The transcript has 3 exons. NCBI's taxonomy places the organism in Eukaryota, Metazoa, Chordata, Ceratodontiformes, Protopteridae.